RNAcentral lists this transfer RNA (72 nucleotides) under Nannocystaceae bacterium. RNAcentral describes it as "tRNA-Val". It matches the Rfam family "tRNA". Rfam says of the family: Transfer RNA (tRNA) molecules are approximately 80 nucleotides in length. Their secondary structure includes four short double-helical elements and three loops (D, anti-codon, and T loops). Lineage: Bacteria; Pseudomonadati; Myxococcota; Nannocystales; Nannocystaceae. The record is from RNAcentral.
GGGCGGAUAGCUCAGCGGUAGAGCGACGCGUUUACACCGCGUUGGUCGCAGGUUCGAUCCCUGUUCCGCCUA